This 452-nucleotide ribosomal RNA is filed under the name uncultured organism. RNAcentral's name for it is "partial 16S ribosomal RNA". It matches the Rfam family "Bacterial small subunit ribosomal RNA", at positions 332 to 800 of the family's 1533-position model. The record is from RNAcentral.
UACACUCCUGCGGGAGGCAGCAGUGGGGAAUAUUGGACAAUGGGCGCAAGCCUGAUCCAGCCAUGCCGCGUGAGUGAUGAAGGCCCUAGGGUUGUAAAGCUCUUUCACCGGUGAAGAUAAUGACGGUAACCGGAGAAGAAGCCCCGGCUAACUUCGUGCCAGCAGCCGCGGUAAUACGAAGGGGGCUAGCGUUGUUCGGAUUUACUGGGCGUAAAGCGCACGUAGGCGGGCUAUUAAGUCAGGGGUGAAAUCCCGGGGCUCAACCCCGGAACUGCCUUUGAUACUGGUAGUCUUGAGUUCGAGAGAGGUGAGUGGAAUUCCGAGUGUAGAGGUGAAAUUCGUAGAUAUUCGGAGGAACACCAGUGGCGAAGGCGGCUCACUGGCUCGAUACUGACGCUGAGGUGCGAAAGCGUGGGGAGCAAACAGGAUUAGAAACCCCAGUAGUCCCAUGA